RNA transcript from Mus musculus (house mouse), 10896 nucleotides. It is a transcript of the gene named ubiquitously transcribed tetratricopeptide repeat containing, Y-linked, with no coding region annotated. NCBI's taxonomy places the organism in Eukaryota, Metazoa, Chordata, Mammalia, Rodentia, Muridae. The record is from RefSeq and is marked validated. The transcript has 29 exons.
AACGGUUGCUUCCAUUGGAAAGCCUGGCUUUAGGGAGAGGUUAUGGACGUUACGUGCGGUUCACACUGACGGUAUUAUAACAACUUUAUGCGGAUGCUAGCGAAGUUUGAUAUUCUAAGAACUUCGCUUAGGUUCUGCAACAAUGAGUUCUUCUUGCGUUCACCAUCUGCGUGGUAAUGUGACCAGAUAGCCUCUGCCGCUUUCUCCUUUGCCAGUUUCCAUGAAAUCUUACGGAUUAUCUCUCACUACUGCUGCCCUAGGUAAUGAGGAAAAGAAAAUGGCGGCGGAAAAGGCUAGAGGCGAGGGCGAAGAGGGGUCCUUCAGUCUCACAGUCGAAGAGAAGAAGGCGCUUUGUGGAUUAGAUAGCAGCUUCUUCGGGUUCUUGACCCGAUGCAAAGAUGGCGCCAAGAUGAAGACGCUGUUGAACAAGGCAAUUCACUUCUAUGAGUCUUUAAUAGUAAAAGCUGAAGGAAAAGUGGAAUCAGAUUUCUUUUGUCAAUUAGGUCACUUCAAUCUCUUACUGGAAGAUUAUUCAAAAGCAUUGUCAUCUUACCAGAGAUACUACAGUUUACAGACUGACUACUGGAAGGCAUUCCAGAACCACUUUUGGUGGUGGAAAAUUACCAGGGAAGUUUGGAAAUUAUUGCUGAGGAAGUUCAGGAAUGCUGCCUUUUUAUAUGGUCUUGGUUUGGUCUAUUUCUACUACAAUGCAUUUCAGUGGGCAAUUAGAGCUUUUCAGGAAGUCCUUUAUGUUGACCCUAAUUUUUGCAGAGCCAAAGAAAUCCAUUUACGACUUGGUUUUAUGUUCAAAAUGAAUACAGAUUAUGAAUCUAGUUUAAAGCAUUUUCAGCUGGCCCUGAUCGACUGUAAUGUCUGUACUUUGUCCAGUGUCGAAAUUCAGUUUCAUAUUGCUCACUUAUAUGAAACCCAGAGGAAAUACCAUUCUGCAAAGGCAGCCUAUGAACAACUUUUACAGAUUGAAAGCUUGCCAUCACAAGUCAAAGCAACUGUAUUGCAACAGUUAGGUUGGAUGCACCAUAAUAUGGAUCUAAUUGGAGACAAUACCACCAAAGAGAGAUAUGCUAUUCAGUAUCUCCAAAAGUCAUUGGAGGAAGAUCCUAAUUCUGGUCAAUCUUGGUAUUUCCUUGGAAGGUGUUACUCAUGUAUUGGGAAGGUUCAGGAUGCCUUUGUAUCUUACAGGCAAUCCAUUGAUAAAUCAGAAGCAAGUGCAGACACAUGGUGUUCAAUAGGUGUGCUGUAUCAACAGCAAAAUCAACCUAUGGAUGCCUUGCAAGCCUAUAUAUGUGCUGUACAGUUGGAUCAUGGACAUGCAGCAGCCUGGAUGGACUUAGGUAUUCUUUAUGAAUCUUGCAACCAACCCCAGGAUGCCAUUAAAUGCUACUUAAAUGCAGCUCGGAGCAAAUCUUGUAAUAACACCUCUGCACUUACAUCAAGAAUUAAGUUUUUACAGGCUCAGUUGUGUAACCUUCCACAAAGUAGUCUACAGAAUAAAACUAAAUUACUUCCUAGUAUUGAGGAGGCAUGGAGCCUACCAAUACCCGCAGAGCUUACCUCCAGGCAGGGUGCCAUGAACACAGCACAGCAGAGUGUUUCUGAUACCUGGAAUAGUGUCCAGACAGCUUCACAUCAUUCAGUACAGCAGAAAGUUUAUACACAGUGCUUCACAGCACAGAAAUUACAGAGUUUUGGUAAAGAUCAACAACCUCCAUUUCAAACUGGGUCCACACGAUAUCUCCAAGCAGCUAGCACUAAUGAUCAGAAUCAGAAUGGAAAUCAUACUCUGCCUCAGAAUUCAAAAGGGGAUGCUCAAAAUCACUUCUUACGUAUUCCUACCUCAGAAGAACAAAAGAUCAUUAACUUUACCAAAGAGAGCAAGGAUUCAAGAAGUAAAUCCUUGACUUCUAAAACAAGUAGGAAAGAUAGAGACACAUCUAAUAUCUGUGUUAAUGCAAAGAAGCAUUCUAAUCAUAUUUAUCAGAUCUCAUCAGUUCCGAUUUCCAGCCUUAAUAAUAAAGAAUCUGUGUCACCAGAUUUAAUAAUUGUAGACAAUCCUCAGCUUUCUGUCUUAGUUGGAGAAACUAUCGACAAUGUGGACCAUGACAUUGGAACUUGUGACAAAGUCAAUAAUGUUCAUCUAGCCAUUCACAAAAAGCCUGAUAAUCUUUCUGCUUCUUCACCCUCUUCAGCCAUUUCCACAGAAACACUUUCUCUAAAGCUCACUGAACAGACACACAUUGUUACCAGCUUUAUCAGUCCUCACAGUGGAUUACACACAAUUAAUGGAGAAGGGCAUGAGAACUUAGAGAGUUCUGCCAGUGUUAAUGUUGGCCUCAGACCUAGAUCUCAAAUCAUACCAUCAAUGUCUGUGUCCAUAUACUCCAGUUCAACAGAAGUUCUGAAAGCGUGCAGGAGUCUAGGUAAAAAUGGUUUGUCUAAUGGUCAUAUUCUCUUGGAUAUAUGCCCACCUCCAAGACCACCAACUUCGCCAUAUCCUCCUUUACCAAAGGAGAAGUUGAAUCCACCCACUCCUAGUAUUUAUUUGGAAAAUAAGCGAGAUGCCUUUUUUCCUCCAUUACAUCAAUUUUGCAUCAAUCCAAAAAACCCUGUUACAGUAAUUCGCGGUCUUGCUGGAGCUCUUAAGUUAGAUCUUGGACUUUUCUCUACCAAAACUUUGGUAGAGGCUAACAAUGAACAUAUCGUAGAAGUGAGGACCCAAUUGUUACAGCCAGCAGAUGAAAACUGGGAUCCCUCUGGAACAAAGAAAAUCUGGCGAUAUGAAAAUAAAAGUUCUCAUACUACAAUUGCUAAAUAUGCACAGUACCAGGCCUGCUCCUUCCAGGAAUCAUUGAGAGAAGAAAAUGAAAGAAGAACACAAGUUAAAGACUAUUCAGAUAAUGAAUCAACAUGUUCAGAUAAUUCUGGAAGGAGACAGAAAGCACCCUUUAAAACCAUAAAAUGUGGGAUUAACAUUGAUCUGUCUGAUAACAAAAAGUGGAAGUUGCAGUUACAUGAGCUGACAAAGCUUCCUGCUUUUGUACGUGUUGUAUCAGCAGGGAAUCUUCUCAGUCAUGUUGGCUAUACUAUAUUGGGGAUGAAUUCAGUUCAACUAUGUAUGAAAGUUCCAGGGAGUAGAAUACCAGGUCACCAAGAAAAUAACAAUUUCUGUUCUGUUAACAUAAAUAUUGGUCCAGGUGAUUGUGAAUGGUUUGUUGUACCUGAAGAUUAUUGGGGUGUUCUGAAUGACUUCUGUGAAAAAAAUAAUUUGAAUUUCCUGAUGAGUUCUUGGUGGCCGAACCUUGAAGAUCUUUAUGAAGCAAAUGUUCCUGUUUAUAGGUUUAUUCAACGACCUGGUGAUUUGGUUUGGAUAAAUGCAGGCACUGUUCACUGGGUUCAGGCUAUUGGGUGGUGUAACAACAUCACCUGGAAUGUUGGUCCACUCACAGCCUUCCAAUAUAAAUUGGCAGUUGAACGAUAUGAAUGGAAUAAAUUGCAAAGUGUCAAGUCAGUAGUACCCAUGGUUCAUCUUUCAUGGAAUAUGGCACGAAAUAUCAAAGUCUCAGAUCCAAAGCUUUUUGAAAUGAUUAACAGGCGUGGGAGACAAGCUCUCUCCUCUGAGUUUCAGUGGUCAGAGCAGUCUCUGCAGGCAAGAUCUCCUCUUUCGGGGAAGGUGUACAGUUAUCUGGUGUUUGGACCUCCUCCUGGCUGAAGAUGAAGGCCCAAAACAGGAUCUUUCCCAGAAGCUGUGUUGCUUUGGCCAGGAAGGUGGCCGGUUGUCUGGAGUCGAAGAUGUCGCCACCUCAGAAGCUCUGUGGCUCUCGCCAGGAAGGUGGCCGGUUGUCUGGAGACGAAGAUGGCGCCACCCCAGAAGCUCUGAGACUCUCGCCCGUACCAGAAACGGCUGGCCUCUGUAUUCCACACGGUCACCCGUGCAGCCUGCCCUCCGCAGAGUCCCGGAGCCAAGAAGGCUCCCGCCGGCGCCUGUGACACAAACCUCUCAGGCCGGGCAGACCCCCGUGCUCUCACCAGGAAGGUGGCCGGCUGUCUGGAGCUGAAAAUGGUGCCGCCUCAGAAGCUCUGUGGCUCUCGCCAGGAACGUGGCUGGUUGUCCGGAGAUGUCGCCGCCUCAGAAGCUCUGUGGCUCUCGCCAGGAAGGUGGCUGGUUGUCUGGAGAUGUCGCUGCCUCCGAAGCUCUGUGGCUCUCGCCAGGAAGGUGGCUGGUUGUCUGAAGAUGUCGCCGCCCCAGAAGCUCUGCGACUCUGGCCCGUACCAGAAACGGCUGGCCUCUGUAUUCCACACGGUCUCCCGUGCAGCCUGCCCUCCGCAGAGUCCCGGAGCCAAGAAGGCUCCUGCCGGCGCCUGUGACACAAACCUCUCAGGCCGGGCAGACCCCAGUGCUCUGACCAGGAAGGUGGCCGGCUGUCUGGAGCUGAAGAUCUUAACUACAGAUUUUUAAAAAUUUAUUCUUUGACAGAUUUAUCAUUAAUAUUAAAUGGUUGAAACCCCAUAAAUUUUUAUGCUUACUAGACAUUUGUUUGCUGUUGAUUUUAAGUUUUUAAUGCAUAAUGUUUAGGUCUGGUAGGUUAUACAGAGCCAUUUCGGUCCUUCUGAAUUUGGUCAGGUUUGUUUUGUGUCUCAGGAUAUGUUUUAUUUUAGAGAAACUUCAGUGGUCUAUUGAGUAGAAUGUUCUUUCUUUGGUGUUUGGGUAGAAUAUGCUUAUGUGUUGAUAUGGUGUAUAAUAUUUUUAAAUUCUACUGUUUCUCUGCUUAAUUUUUGUUCUGACUUCCAUUUGGUUUGAGAAAGUAAUGUAUUGAAGUUUCCCAUUGUUAAAUGGUUGAUGUUAAUCUGUAACUUUAUUCUCAGUAAUUGCUAAGCUUUUUAUGAAAUUGGUUCAUGUAUAUUUAAGAUAAUAAUGUCUUCUGAUUAACUAUUUUUCUUCUUAGAAUGUAAUCUCUUUUUAUCUUUUCUGAUUAGUUUUAGAAUAAAAUCUAUUUGGUCAAUUAAUGGCUUACAGAUACAUGGUAACUUCCAAAUCCUAUAUGAUUGGAGUUCUGUUAUACAUCUUUUCACUCUGUGUGCUUUGUACAUAGUACAUGACAUAGAUUUUGUUUUUUUAAAAGUGUUUGUCCUUUGAUUGAAGAAUUUAGGCCAUUGACUUUUUAAAUAUUAUUGAAAGAUGUUUUUCUCUUAUAGUCAUUGUUUUGAAUUUUUGUUGGGUUCUCAGAGGUACUUUGCAUUAGCAAUUAGAGAUUCAUUUGUUUUAUCUCUUGAAAUCUCUUCAGUGCCAAGUUCUGCUUCUGUUUUGUUUAGGCAUAUUCUGCUGAAUGUGCAUUCUUUUUGCUCAUCUGUUUUAUGGAACAUUUUUCUUUCACCUUCAAUUAUGGCAGAAAAUUUUACUAGGUUUGCAAUUGUGGUCUUUUAUGACUUGGAAUUUAUUGCUUUACAUUUCUAUUGAUGAGUAUUCUGGGGUUUUUUAAGGGACUUCCUUUAUAUAUGACUCGUGUUCUUAUCUUUCAGCUCUCAGUAACUUGUUUUUGUUCUGUAUAGUUUUUCAACUUAGAUAUCCUAUAGAGAUUUUCUUUUCCAGUCUCAUUUAUUUAGUAUUCUGUGUUUCUUGCAUCUCAAUGUGGCAUUUCAAGCUCACUAACACUUUCAGUGAUAUCCUCCCUUUUACAGGAAAAGAGUUGGAUCAAAACUGUCAAAGAAGGAGGAACAUGUCCCCAAAAGGCAUGUAGUUCAGAAGGAAGGCAGCAUAAAACUACCUGGUUCCCAGUAUAAAACGUAGAGUAGGUAGCAGCAAGACAAGGGGUUUGUGUUUCCUGAUAUUUGCAAUCUUAAGAACUGAAGUCCAGAAUCUUGCUUGAUACCUAAUUAUUCUGCACAUACGCAUGUGUGCAUGUGCAAAUAGCACACUUAGUUUCCUCAGAGUGAAAGUGACCUGUGAAAAUGAGAGAUGGUACUGUUGAGCAAAACUUUCACUGAAUAAAAGACAAAUAAGUGCUUAAAGAAGAAAAAGGUAAGAUUUUCCAGACACUUACUGUAUUUGAUGUUGAGUCAAAUUACCUGAAGAAGAUCAAAAACUUAAUAGGAAAGUUCUGCAUCUGAAAUGGAUGGCCUAUGUGUUGCCACAUCACUCUGAAUCAAAAGCAUCCUAAAACCCACAGAUUAAGUUGCAGCUUAUGUUAAUUACCUGAAAGUGCUCAUAAACUUAUAAGUAACUUCACACUCUUUCACUGUUAGCAGUCUGUCAUUCAUAACCAGCUCUGUGGAUGAACUUAUUGGUCUUCUACAACUCCAAACAAUUCAAUUUGAUCAGGUCUUGGACAGCAGAAAACAAUGAAGUAAAUACUUGAGACUUAGGGAGAAAAAACAUGUUAAUAGUUAAAAGGCUGGGGCUGUGUUACAUACAGGUCAUCUUGGAUUGUCAUCUCCCAAACCCUUGAUGUUCUCAUGCAGGAGCACAUAAUCUGUUAAUCUUCCCAAGGGAAGGGGCUCUUAAAUAACCUGAAAAGGCAUUAUUGCUGUGUGCUUGUGCACUUGAGAAUAGCUGCUGCUAUGGUGGUGGCUGCCACACUGUACAUAGCCUUAGGUCAGCAAAGCCUUUUAGUUCUCUUUCAGCUUGUUCUUCUUGCAACCUCUUUGAGCCCAGAAGACUUCAAGGAGGCAUACUGUUCGAUAGUAACUCAUUUGCUUAUCCUGUCUUUUAUCAUCUUCCUGGUUGCUGUGAGACACAAGUUUGGCCUUUGGAUGUCUUUUAUUGGUAGUUGCUGGGGAUGGAGCUGGAACAGGGGACAGGGCUGAGUCUAGUGUUCAGGCCAAGGAAGGAUCCAGGGGUGGUGUGUAUAGUCCUGAAUAAACUCUAUUCUAUACUAUACCAUUGUGUUGCUGGUCCCUCAGGGGGAAGGAAUGCCUCAGCAUGAGUCUGCAGAGGUACCCUCUUCCCCGUACCUGACUGACUGUGCAUCCACCAAAACAUAUUCCUCCUCUCUUUAUCUUUUUAUAAACACAACAUUUGGUGCCAAGACUUGGAUUUAGAAACUCCUAAGGUUUGCAUCCCCUGUUACCACUUGGAGAGCCAACACUCACUAGCCCAAACUUUGGAGAAAUGGUAAGCCCCCUCUACUCAUUGGUCAGAGUAAAUGUCCUGAUGGUCCCAGGAGAGAGUUCUUGAGCUUAGAGCUAUCCUUUUGCUGCCCUUGAGGAUGGAGACAUUCAGUCUUUUCACUGAUCCAUGUUCUAGAACAUUUUUCCCUUGGGUGAGAUCUUCCUCUCUUUUGAGACUGUUCCUUUCCCACUGCUGAGAAAUCUAAGGCCUGAGUGAACUCCUCUCUCAGGGCAUCAGCCCAGAGCUUAGCCCCCAGAUCACUACAUGAUGACCUGGUAGUCUGGUCUGGCUAGAAGUCUCUACAGUUAGUAAUACCUCAGUACUCUGGUAGGGGUAGUUAAUAACCCUAUUCUCAUCCAUGGGCUUGUCUACACCACCUUGUCCCUACCUACUGGGAUGUCCUGGUCUAAUGGUCUAAUUCAAACAAUAUCUAUAUGUGGCCGCUAAACUGACACUUUAAAACAACUCUCUUGCUAGCAAUCUGUAGUGAAGACUUUCCCUUCCGUCAUCCCUCAUUUGCUUGCUCCCUAGCAGCCCUCAUUCUCUCACCAUUUGCUCUGCUCCCGAUUCAGAGUGGGUCUGGCCCAUCCCUUGCAUCCUGCCAGAGAUUUUGCUGAGAUGUUGUUGAUUUCCCUCAUGUUCCUCAUCUGCACUGUCCCUGUUCUCUAUUUUGUCCUCUCUACCUGGAACUCAUGUAGUGAAAAUGAGUCCUGCCUCUGCCAGAGCUGCCACUUUUGCUGCUGCUGUACCACAUCUGAGACAUAGCAGGACUGCUGUGGGCAUACUUUCGCUCUGGUCUCUCACCUCAGCUCUCCGCUUAACCUCCACCAUCUGGCAGAGCUCUCUCCUACCCCUUCAGUGAAGAUGAAAUGCUACUUCAGGAACUUCCUCCGCCCAUCUCAGGCUCUGACAGAUGGGAUUGGGCAACACUGGGUUAGGGCUUCUGGCUGCUAGGACAAAGCUCCUCCCCACUUGUCGGAGUGCACUGCCACUUUCACCACCUUUGUCUCGAAAUAAAGCCAGCAAGAGCCAGUCCAUCUGAGUGCCAUCUAGCCUAUUGUGACAUCUCAAACCCUAUGCCCUUGAGGUAGGAGUGCACCUGGUGCCUUGACCACACAUAUACACUUGCCUGUCUUGUACCAGAGUCCAGCCCGUUCCCACAGUCUGCCCACCCACUCAGUUUAUGUCAUAGACCUGGACACACUUUACCUUCUGUCAGCACAGUCUCAAGCCACCACUGUCAGCAUUCUUAUUUCUUCCAUUCUGGUCCACACCAACUCUAAGCCAAGUGUUUCUCUACUAAUACAAAAUGUGUUUUUCUAUACCUGUCAAAGUCACUUAACAAUUAAGAUUUUCAUUCCUGUCCUGCCUUGAUAAUGGUUUUUGCUACAGAUAUGAUCAGUAGACAUAGCUCUCAAUCUUCUCAGAAGUCUGCUAAUUAUUAAUAUACUUAAGUUUAUGACAGACAGAAUCUCCCAAAGCCUAACAGCUAUCCCCAAGGUCACAGGAGAUAUAGACACAGCUACAAGAGACUGCCCCGAUUGUGGUAUGAUAACCACUAAGAAACACUGUGGUCAAGACUGGAAGCCCUAAGAGUCAAGUGACUCAUAUUGCCUAAGUCAAGGUGAGUCAUUUCUCAUUUCUCAAGUUAUUUAAUCCACAGGGAAAAAAGGGGCUCUUUUUAAAAGGCUCUUUGUUUUCUGGGUUUAAAAGCCAGACUGACUCUGCCCAAGUUGUUAUGGAGACCACAGGGACAGGGGCAGAUAGACACCCAUGGAAAAGCAAAGUCUUGGCAGACAGAGUCCCUGACAGGACUCCAGGAGUGGGACCAAACCCACUUUUCACAAAACAAAUUGGGAACAGAGCAAAUAGGUCUGCAGAAUGAGGUCUUCUCCUGGCUGGCAGGUCAGCAGUGAACUAUAGACGAACUCUGUCAUUUUUAAUUAAUACCUGAUUUAAUUUAUUCUCCAGAUUUCUGACUAUGUGGACAGCUAAGAUAACUGUAGCUUGACAGCUAGAAAACAGACCUAGCUCCUUACCCUAAGAUAUUGUCUCCUCAAGAUUCUAAAGCAUUGUCAGACUUUGAGAGAAGCUCUUGUUGCAGCAGGGAAAGAGGUUUUGUGGCAUGGGAGGAUAAAUGAUGAACCAGCUCCUUACUGUAGCAUCUGUGAGGUGGAAGUUUUUAAUUUACUUUUUGUCACUAAUGAAAGCAAUUCUCAAAAGACAUAUAUAGUACAUUGUCAGAACUGUGCACGAAAAACAAGUGGAAAUUUGGAAAAUUUUGUAGUGCUAGAACAAUACAAAAUGGAGGACCUGAUUCAAGUCUAUGACCAAUUUACAUUAGCUCCUUCGUUAUCUUCUGCAUCUUAAUAUUGUUCCAGAAAUACUGAGGCGUUUGUUCUUCUUGAAAUAUACUACUUAUUUUCUUGUUAUUCUCAUAAGACUGCUAUCUCAAAGCUAAAUUUAUGCAACCUUUCAAGAGUAGAGAAUCAGGAGACUAAACAGAGCAUUACUUCUAUUCCAAGAUUUACAAAGUUGACCCAAAUGUAUUUCAUAAUUAAAAGUUAAUAGUAAUAGUCACAUGAUUUGUAUAUAUCUGCCAGAAAUAACAUUUUGACACAAACAAAUACCUGGAAAACAACUUUUUAUAUCUCCAUUUCCUGGAUGACAGAUUUCUUUAUGCUUGUAAGUUACCCCAAAUUUUUUGUUUAGAAUCAAAUAGUAUCUUAUUUGGCUACUUCUUUUUAAGAUAACUAACAAAUUGAAAAAAAAUUUUUUCUUUUACCAAUUUUUUGCUAAAGUCAAAAUAAUAUGAAAAAGGUUUAUAUUGCUCUGUCACUAUUGUUUUGAAGUCUUGAUUUCAUGUGAUUACAAAAUAAAAAUAUUAACAGACUGGUAAAAAGAUUAUAGGUUGCAUAUAAAUAAUUUCAAAGUGAUGGUUUUUUGUUUUGUUUUGAAUCUUGACACAAACUCAAACUAUUCAUAAAUACAUAUAUAUAUGUGUAUAUAUGUAUGUAUACAUAUAUGUACAUAUAUAUAUAUAUACACAUACAUACAUAUAUACAUAUAUAUGUAUAUUGCUGGAAAAUCCUUGUGAAUUGAAUGUUAUUUUUUUCUAGAUUUACUUGCCAUUAAAUACUAAGGAGUUGUAUAAUUUUAAAUGCCACAAUUAAUUUUUAUAUGUGUAAAUAAAGCUACUUAGUAUUGUACAUAAACUCUUAUUAAAAUUAUUUAGUGUAUAAAGAAUUUUUCAAUGUUUGAGUUUUGAAGAUUAUAUAGUUCCAAUCUUUGUUCCUUUUCAAAGUUAAUGAAUAUAUGUAUUUAAGUCUGCCAACACAUGUAUGUAUGUAGAGAUCUCAGUAUUUCACUCAACAAGAAAAUCACAAUUUUUCAAUUUUUUAUGGCUGAAAGUUUUUGAAGGUAUUUGCUUACAAAAUAGGUAUGCUUAUUUUUAAAGACCAUCAGUGUCUUUUAGUCUGAUUAGGUUACACCUUAUGAAAUGACAAGUAGUUGCUGUCAGAAAUAUUUUUUAAGGGUAGAAAAUAAAGGUAAAUUAAGAUUUUUUUAUAAGAAACAUAGAUUUGACAAGUGCUUAUCAUUUAGAGUUUUGCUUUAAUGGAAAAGUUCAUUGCAAUGAUGAUCUCUAUUUUAGAGUUUAAUAUUCCUAGGAACUUUUAAAACAGAUAAUUUUGAAAUUCCAUGUAUUCCUGCUUGUUCAAUCUGGUGUGUGUUGGGAGACUUACGCAUUAAAAUUUAUUAUUAGUAAAUCUUAA